CGGUCCUAAGGUAGCGAAAUUCCUUGUCGGGUAAGUUCCGACCUGCACGAAUGGUGUAACGACUUGGGCGCUGUCUCAACGAGGAGCUCGGCGAAACUGUAGCUCCGGUGAAGAUGCCGGAUACCCGCGACAGGACGGAAAGACCCCGUGAACCUUUACUGCAGCUUGAUAUUGGGUCUCGCCAAUGCAUGUGUAGGAUAGGUGGGAGGCUAUGAACGGAGGGCGCCAGCCUUUCGGGAGCCAACCUUGAAAUACCACCCUUGUGUUGUUGGGGUUCUAACUUCAUUCCGUGAAUCCGGAUGGAAGACAGUGUCAGGUGGGCAGUUUGACUGGGGCGGUCGCCUCCUAAAACGUAACGGAGGCGCCCAAAGGUUCCCUCAGCACGGUUGGCAAUCGUGCGUAGAGUGUAAAGGCAUAAGGGAGCCUGACUGCGAGACAUACAAGUCGAGCAGACACGAAAGUGGGGCUUAGUGAUCCGACGAUUCCUUGUGGAAGGGUCGAAGCUCAACGGAUAAAAGGUACUCCGGGGAUAACAGGCUUAUCUCCCCCGAUAGUCCACAUAAACGGGGAGGUUUGGCACCUCGAUGUCGGCUCAUCGCAUCCUGGGGCCGGAGAAGGUCCCAAGGGUUCGGCUGUUCGCCGAUUAAAGCGGUACGCGAGCUGGGUUUAGAACGUCGUGAGACAGUUCGGUCCCUAUCCGUCGCGGGCGUAGGACAUUUGAGAGGAUCUGUUCCUAGUAUGAGAAGACCGGAAUGGACGAACCGCUGGUUCACCAGUUGUGGCGCCAGCCGCAUCGCUGGGUAGCUAUGUUCGGACGGGAUAACCGCUGAAAGCAUCUAAGCGGGAAGCCCACCUCAAGACGAGAUGUCCCAAGCGUAAGCUUCUGAAGGCCCCUUGAAGAUUACAAGGUCGAUAGGCCAGAGGUGUAAGUGGCGAGGUAACGAGCCAUUCAGCCGACUGGUACUAAUAGCCGUGCGGCUUGACCAG
This 987-nucleotide ribosomal RNA is filed under the name Gemmatimonadota bacterium. RNAcentral describes it as "Gemmatimonadetes bacterium partial 23S ribosomal RNA". It matches the Rfam family "Bacterial large subunit ribosomal RNA", at positions 1946 to 2925 of the family's 2925-position model. The record is from RNAcentral. Lineage: Bacteria; Pseudomonadati; Gemmatimonadota.